This 465-nucleotide ribosomal RNA is filed under the name Vreelandella stevensii. RNAcentral's name for it is "partial 16S ribosomal RNA". It matches the Rfam family "Bacterial small subunit ribosomal RNA", at positions 338 to 795 of the family's 1533-position model. The record is from RNAcentral. Lineage: Bacteria; Pseudomonadati; Pseudomonadota; Gammaproteobacteria; Oceanospirillales; Halomonadaceae.
CCUACGGGGGGCUGCAGUGGGGAAUAUUGGACAAUGGGGGGAACCCUGAUCCAGCCAUGCCGCGUGUGUGAAGAAGGCCCUCGGGUGGUAAAGCACUUUCAGUGAGGAAGAACGCCUGGUGGUUAAUACCCAUCAGGAAAGACAUCACUCACAGAAGAAGCACCGGCUAACUCCGUGCCAGCAGCCGCGGUAAUACGGAGGGUGCGAGCGUUAAUCGGAAUUACUGGGCGUAAAGCGCGCGUAGGUGGCUUGAUAAGCCGGUUGUGAAAGCCCCGGGCUCAACCUGGGAACGGCAUCCGGAACUGUCAAGCUAGAGUGCAGGAGAGGAAGGUAGAAUUCCCGGUGUAGCGGUGAAAUGCGUAGAGAUCGGGAGGAAUACCAGUGGCGAAGGCGGCCUUCUGGACUGACACUGACACUGAGGUGCGAAAGCGUGGGUAGCAAACAGGAUUAGAUACCCGGGUAGUC